CUCCCGAACCCCUAUCCCCAUCGAGACCGCAUCCACCCGCCCUCAGCUUCGAUCCAUCCACCCACCCAAUCCCGAUCGAUCCAUCCACCUGCCCAAUCCCGAUCGAGGCUGCCGGUUGUUCCCAGCGACCAGAGGAGAGGAGCAGCCGGUGCGGCCGGUUCCAUCAACUGAAGACGGGGUGAGGGAUGGGAUCGAUCCCUGCGACCGGAGGAGUAGGAUCCUGGUCGAGGCAAUCCAAUCGAGCGCGUGAAGAAAGGUGGGGGCGAGGGAGAUAAUGGCCGACUCCUCCCUUACUUGAAACUGCUCUGCCCUCUUGAAGCUCGCAAUCAUGGCCCUUCUCUGGAAACUGCCCUUGCGUCCUCGCAAUCAUGGCGUAUUAUUCAUUCAUGGCUGAUAAAUUUUCAACCCUUUCUUAUGCGCGGUGGUCCUAUAUAGUGCUUCCCUCCCUCGCUUUGUAUGCACGCCCUACUCUAGCAUCUACAUCUUCUUCAGCGUUAUGCUCUGGUUAAUCGGGUCUGAAUCGGCUUGUCUGGCACGUUUUCUGUGGUCAUCUCCAUCUCAGACAGCCCACUUCUGUAACUGAGGACUGCUCAUGUCUCUGUGAAGAAGAAAACGCAGAUCCUCGAUAGGGAAUGCAUCGAUCCAUCUGAGGUACGAGGGAAAGAUGAAGAUCCAGCCGUCUAUCCAGGGGUAUGAGUAUUUAAACAUUGUUUUGUUUCUUUGAGAAAAUUGGUCAUGUCAAUCUAAAUUGGUGUGUUUGCUUGACUAAUGCAGGUGCCAAAUCAAGCAUACUGGCUGGUCACUCAAACCUAAUUGAGAAAUCAGUCAACUAUACCUAGAUCAGGCAAAAAAAUCAUUGAUAAAUGUAUUUGGUGUGCUUUUAGUUUGUAUUUUAACAAGCUUGGGAAUAUGAUAGUUACGGGUCAGCUAUUAGCUUUUUACAUCUUUAUAGAUAACUAAUGAUACCUUGCAGGCUAUUCAAAUGAUUUAUAUACCAAAGUUUACACUAUCAGUUUGUUCAUCAUUACAUGUUAUUUAAUUUAGGCGAAUCAAUUCCAACUUCAACUGUUUGUUUGGGAACUAUAUGUCAGGCGGCCGCUCCCUUGAUGUCGGUCGUGCCUCGCGCUACCCAAGCAAGUGCCUUCGCCGUGCCUCCUGCUCAUGAAUCCUUGUGCCGGCCCUGCCGCAUGCGCUGAAUUCCUCCUAAUUGGGCGGGCUCUGGGCUGUGGCUAACUGCCUGUCUCCUUUUCCACCACACCGCAGAAACAGUGCCUUCUCCAUGACGGUGACAAGGCAGUGGCAACGGCCAUACAUCUGACAACCAGGCCAGCGGUGCUUCCCCCUCCACUUUCCGGACAAGCUACAACAGGCGUUGACUACUCGUCCCACGCCUAUUCCUUGGCCAGCAGCCAGCACCACCAGGUCGAUCGCUCCCUCCACCUCAAGCUCUCACUCUAAGACCCACUAGCUUACACCACUGUCUUGCAUUCUUUUUGGAAAUAUAAUAUGCUUCAUGUUAUUCUUGGGUGUUGAAUUCUAAUCAUCUACUCUUGUAGUGCAACAGAAGAGGAGUGAUAUGUAUAAUAUGUUUGGCAUCUCCUGUCCUUUUGUGGUCUGUGUAGUGCUUUGCAAUGGCAUACUGAUAUUUUUCCUAUUCUUUUUCAUGUACGUACAUGGGUAGCCAAUUAUUUCUUCUCUUUGUCUGGUGUGCAGCAUGCAAGAGAAAAAUCUCCUUUAACCAUGUUCUGCUCUGCUCAUGUUCUGAUUCUGUUCAUCGCCUGGGCAGGUGCAGAGUGAGAGGGGAGAUUAGUUUGGUACUUUGGCAUAAGUUGCUUUUCUUUCAUUUGAUUUACUAUUUUUCAUAAAUGAUGGUAAUGUUCUACACCACUUUAAUAAACUAUCAUGCAUGCUGAUGUUUAGAACAAUAACAUAUUGCGGAGAAAGUUAAAAAGGAGCAUCUCAUAUGAAAUUGAGUACUAAGUGGCAUGACUUCACGUUUCAACUUAUUGAUGGUAUUAAUUCCCAUGUUGGAGCUAACAACACAUUGUGGCUUAUGUACUGAACUUCUGGGCCAUUAUAUCUGAAGCAACUCAAUUAAAUGAUAUUUUUGGACACCAUAAACUCACCCAUUUGGAACUGCAAAUUUUGCACUGUACUCUGUACAUAUUUUUGUGGCUCAGUGGCUCGAUAAUAACUCUGAAAGCCACGAUGUCCAGUACAUAAACCAUGCUCCAUUUGCUAAAUUGUAGGGAGCACUUGCUAUAUAACUAGCCCAACUGGCUUCUAUCAUACGAUUGUCAUCGGUCUUUUCCCACUUUCUACAGCCAUCUAACAUAACCCUUAUGCAACGACUCUUUUGGAUUGAAGUCCUAAAUUCCUCUGCAUCUUAGAUUGUACAUAUGGGCAUCUGCCACAACGCCUACAUUUACCAUUAACUAUUCUAACUAAAAGUAUACACACUUGCGGCCAGCUCAAACCAAGUUCAAUCCCAUGAGACAUCCUCUUCCACUACAUUACUACGAGUACUUUACAACAACUCCCUGGACAUUUAGGUUGCAUGUUUAAUUUUGUGCUGUCAUAUAGUAUUACGGAAUUACUAUCACUCUAUUGUAAAAAUGGAUGGGUGCGGCCAGGUACGUACGCCAUCAUAAUCUAGCAAAGUUCAUCUUUGUCCAAACUAAAUAUGAUAAUCUCUCUAAUGAUGUUUGGUUGAUUUUGUUUUUAAUGAUGCUUGAGCAAGCUACCAUCACUCAUAUUGACCAAACAUCUUAAUUUUCUCGUUCUCAGGUACAUGUUUCUGUAAUGAUGCUUAAAUGAUGCAAGGGAAGUAACACUCGUCUUGACUAGCCAGGCAGCUCCAUUUUCCUCAGUCUUAUUCUAAUUUUUACGCACGUGUUGUUCGCAGACACGCAUAUGUUACAUAUAUAACCAAAUGAAAUUGGCAUUUGUGAUCUCCAUAUUUUUCUUCUAAUGCAAUGAUAUGAUUUUCUUCUAAUGCAAUGAUAUGUAGUUUAUUUGUUGUAUUCUGCCUAGAUUAACUUCUAUGUACUUUGCAGGUUGUGCUUAAAAAUCAAAAACAGAGAUGGAACAAAAACAGAUGUAGGAUAGCAUCCAUUUUGAACCAAUGUUUGUACUACAGUGC
This 3142-nucleotide ribosomal RNA is filed under the name Triticum aestivum (bread wheat). RNAcentral's name for it is "partial small subunit ribosomal RNA". The record is from RNAcentral. Lineage: Eukaryota; Viridiplantae; Streptophyta; Magnoliopsida; Poales; Poaceae.